CUAGCCGUAAACGAUGGAUACUAGGUGUUAGAGGUAUCGACCCCUCUAGUGCCGCAGCUAACGCAUUAAGUAUCCCGCCUGGGGAGUACGACCGCAAGGUUGAAACUCAAAGGAAUUGACGGGGGCCCGCACAAGCGGUGGAGCAUGUGGUUUAAUACGUCACUAACCGUAGAACCUUACCCAGGCUUGACAUCCUGUGUAAGUCCAUGAAAGUGGUACCCCUGCAUAGCAAUAUGCAGCACAGAGACAGGUGU
Molecule: ribosomal RNA, 254 nt
Filed under: uncultured Armatimonadota bacterium
Lineage: Bacteria; Bacillati; Armatimonadota
Description: uncultured Armatimonadetes bacterium partial 16S ribosomal RNA
Rfam family: Bacterial small subunit ribosomal RNA
Source: RNAcentral